Molecule: transfer RNA, 86 nt
Filed under: Melampsora larici-populina 98AG31
Lineage: Eukaryota; Fungi; Basidiomycota; Pucciniomycetes; Pucciniales; Melampsoraceae
Description: tRNA-Arg for anticodon UCU
Rfam family: tRNA
About the family: Transfer RNA (tRNA) molecules are approximately 80 nucleotides in length. Their secondary structure includes four short double-helical elements and three loops (D, anti-codon, and T loops). Further hydrogen bonds mediate the characteristic L-shaped molecular structure. tRNAs have two regions of fundamental functional importance: the anti-codon, which is responsible for specific mRNA codon recognition, and the 3' end, to which the tRNAs corresponding amino acid is attached (by aminoacyl-tRNA synthetases). tRNAs cope with the degeneracy of the genetic code in two manners: having more than one tRNA (with a specific anti-codon) for a particular amino acid; and 'wobble' base-pairing, i.e. permitting non-standard base-pairing at the 3rd anti-codon position.
Source: Rfam by way of RNAcentral
GCUCCCCUAGUCUAAAGGUAGGGCGUUGGACUUCUACGCUCGAUUGUGGCAUCCAAAGAUUGCGGGUUCGACCCCCGCGGGGAGUG